RNAcentral lists this unclassified non-coding RNA (359 nucleotides) under uncultured fungus. RNAcentral describes it as "sequence contains ITS2". The stretch from base 1 to 153 matches the Rfam family "5.8S ribosomal RNA". The record is from RNAcentral. Lineage: Eukaryota; Fungi.
AACUUUUAACAACGGAUCACUUGGUUCUGGCAUCGAUGAAGAACGCAGCGAAAUGCGAUAAUUAAUGUGAAUUGCAGACUCAGUGAAUCAUCGAAUCUUUGAACGCACAUUGCGCCCUCUGGUAUUCCGGGGGGCAUGCCUGUUCGAGCGUCAUUACAACCCUCAAGCUCUGCUUGGUGUUGGGCUCGCCCUCUCGGGCCUGCCUCAAAGUCAGUGGCGGCACCGUGUGACCCUAAGCGUAGUAAUACUCGCCGCUUUUUUGGUUACGCGAGGCCUGCCAGCCAACCCCCACCAUCAAGGUUGACCUCGGAUCAGGUAGGGAUACCCGCUGAACUUAAGCAUAUCAAUAAGCGGAGGCU